This 938-nucleotide long non-coding RNA is filed under the name Homo sapiens (human). Its description in RNAcentral is "HSALNT0395101". Lineage: Eukaryota; Metazoa; Chordata; Mammalia; Primates; Hominidae. The record is from RNAcentral.
GCCAUACCAGCUCCUUCACUACCACCGAGCGCACCCACUCUCUGGACAAUCACCACCUCCAAGGUCGUCACUGCUACAUCACCACACCCCUGCUCCCAGGGUUACUGUGGGAACGAUGGCUGCAGGAAAUGAGCUCCUGUGGUCUCACUGUGGGGAUGGACCCUGCGGUGGCCAGCAGCUCCCAGUGCACUGGCUGUCCCCACUCUCCAGUGGAUUAGUAACAAGAAUAACAACAAAAAUACCUGAUUGGAGGAGAAGCAGCAUGGGGCUCGGAAAACAUGAAAUGUGAAGCAGAAGCAGUUAGAUUUGAUUUCUUCUCUUCCAUUCAUCCCCUAUUCGACUUUGGGCAAGUGACAUCAUUUAUCUGAGCUUUAGUUUUUUUGUGUGUAAAAUGGAAUUAAUUGGGCUGUUCUCCUGUGGUUGCUGAGAAGACUGGAUGGGUUAAUGCCUCUGAAAAUGUUGCAUAAAUUGUUGCUUUAUACACAGUGUAAAAAUAAAGCAUGUACUGGAAUGCUUAUGUUUUUACCAAAAAAUCUACCUGCUCUUUUCAAACCUAAUCCUCAAAAUAAUCCUUUUUUAUAAGAAAACGGAGCCUGCAGGAGAUGGAUUGCCUUGCUCAUGAUCAAGGAGCUAUGAAGGUGGGGACAGAAUGGAUUGUCUGUUCUUUCGAUUUCUGGACCGGGGCUCUCACAACCACGCUGCUCAGCUGCUUAAUGCAGCCGAAGGUUCGUCUUGCUGGCUUGCACUGCUCAAUCAAGGACUCUGUGUACUUUCCUCCCUUGGAGUUGGAAGUGCAGACACUUAAUUAUAACUUUCGAUUGCUUGAAAUUAUAGGGCUAUAGAGUGACUGGCACGUGUUUCUGAGGAAAAUCAUAUUCUACAUCCUGAAAUAACCAUCUCCUUUUUUCAUAUUCAAGACAAAUGCAGGGAUCUAGCAC